AUUCCUACGGGAGGCAGCAGUAAGGAAUAUUGGUCAAUGGGCGCAAGCCUGAACCAGCCAUGCCGCGUGCAGGAAGACGGCCCUAUGGGUUGUAAACUGCUUUUAUCAGGGAAUAAACCCCCGCUCGUGAGCGGGGCUGAAGGUACCUGAAGAAUAAGCAUCGGCUAACUCCGUGCCAGCAGCCGCGGUAAUACGGAGGAUGCAAGCGUUAUCCGGAUUCAUUGGGUUUAAAGGGUGCGCAGGCGGAUUGGUAAGUCAGGGGUGAAAUCCCACAGCUCAACUGUGGAACUGCCUUUGAUACUGUCAGUCUAGAGUAUAGUUGAAGUUGGCGGAAUGUGUCAUGUAGCGGUGAAAUGCUUAGAUAUGACACAGAACACCGAUCGCGAAGGCAGCUAGCUAAGCUAUAACUGACGCUCAUGCACGAAAGCGUGGGGAUCAAACAGGAUUAGAUACCCUGGUAGUCCACGCUGUAAACGAUGAUUACUCGAUGUUGGCGAUACACAGUCAGCGUCUGAGCGAAAGCAAUAAGUAAUCCACCUGGGGAGUACGAUCGCAAGAUUGAAACUCAAAGGAAUUGACGGAAU
This 584-nucleotide ribosomal RNA is filed under the name uncultured bacterium. RNAcentral's name for it is "bacterial SSU rRNA". It matches the Rfam family "Bacterial small subunit ribosomal RNA", at positions 335 to 919 of the family's 1533-position model. The record is from RNAcentral.